AUUGAACGCUGGCGGCAGGCCUAACACAUGCAAGUCGAACGGUAGCACAGAGGAGCUUGCUCCUUGGGUGACGAGUGGCGGACGGGUGAGUAAUGUCUGGGAAACUGCCCGAUGGAGGGGGAUAACUACUGGAAACGGUAGCUAAUACCGCAUAACGUCGCAAGACCAAAGAGGGGGACCUUCGGUCCUCUUGCCAUCGGAUGUGCCCAGAUGGGAUUAGCUAGUAGGUGGGGUAACGGCUCACCUAGGCGACGAUCCCUAGCUGGUCUGAGAGGAUGACCAGCCACACUGGAACUGAGACACGGUCCAGACUCCUACGGGAGGCAGCAGUGGGGAAUAUUGCACAAUGGGCGCAAGCCUGAUGCAGCCAUGCCGCGUGUAUGAAGAAGGCCUUCGGGUUGUAAAGUACUUUCAGCGAGGAGGAAGGUGUUGUGGUUAAUAACCGCAGCAAUUGACGUUACUCGCAGAAGAAGCACCGGCUAACUCCGUGCCAGCCGCCGCCGUAA
RNAcentral lists this ribosomal RNA (506 nucleotides) under uncultured bacterium. RNAcentral describes it as "partial 16S ribosomal RNA". It matches the Rfam family "Bacterial small subunit ribosomal RNA", at positions 30 to 523 of the family's 1533-position model. The record is from RNAcentral.